CGUGUGCCAAUAAUAAUGAUUUUUUGUUGUGUGUCUACCAGGGACAGAAGGGCGACCAGGGUCAAGACGGAGACCCUGGGGAGGUGAGUGAGUCAAAGUGCCUGAUAAUGUCAGUAUCAACAUCUGGAGCGAAGGAUGAACCUACAGACACAUGCAAAUGAAACCUUCCGUAAUGAAUAAGAUUAGAAGGACUAAGAUUACAUGAACUCCUACUCUGAGACAUUUUAUGAACACAUGCCCUGGUCUCUCUGGUCUCCCCAUAGGUGACCAUGAUUGGCUGUGCCGUAAUUGGCCCGAAAGGACAACCAGGAUUUACUGGCCCCCUGGGGCCCACUGGGGUUACUGGUCCCCCAGGUACUCUACGCUCAUCCGGCAUACAGUACACACCCUUAUUGAUAUUCACCCUCCUCCUAUCCAAUCAGAUGUGAAGUAGCACUGUAUAAUCCUGCCUCAUUAACCAACAUGACCAAUCAGUGUGUCCGUAUAGCUAAUAAUAUCAACCUGUUUUCCAGGUGUCACUGGUUUCCAGGGGCCUCCUGGGUCUCCAGGUAAGCGCUGAUCCACACGCAAGCACUCACACACACACACACACACACACACACACACACACAUAUACUCAGUCUCCAUCAUGGGCUAUCUCCCCCUACACAGGUCCUAACUACGAAGGAGAUCCCGACAAUCGGGGAGUGAAGGGCCACAGUGGGCCUAAAGGGGAUAAAGGAGACCCAGGACCCAUCAUCCAGGGAGAGCCAGGCAGGGAAGGCUCACAAGGAACAACUGGAGACCUUGGACCCCCGGGACCACCUGGAGACUCUGAUAAUCUGAAGGGCCUUAUAGGACCUCCGGGGGCAAAGGGAGCCAAGGGAGAACAAGGGUACAGGGGCCAAUAUGGAUUGAAAGGUGAGAAAGGGGAGGUCUGUAGUUUGUGUACGGGAAAAGGGUCUGGAGAGCCGGGACUCCCAGGUUCCCCUGGUCAGCCUGGACUCCCAGGUACCUGCAACGUAACAGAACUUUCAGCGAGAAAUGUAUUGUGUAGAACAAAAAUCAUUGUCUGUCCUAUAGAAUAG
RNAcentral lists this long non-coding RNA (1067 nucleotides) under Salmo trutta (river trout). RNAcentral describes it as "lncRNA (ENSSTUG00000006011.1)". The record is from RNAcentral. Lineage: Eukaryota; Metazoa; Chordata; Actinopteri; Salmoniformes; Salmonidae.